AAGUCAUAACAAGGUUUCCGUAGGUGAACCUGCGGAAGGAUCAUUAGUGAUUUGGCCGAGAGGCCUUUAAUCCAAUCCUCACACCUGUGAACUUGUCGGUGGGCUCAGUCCCGCCGGUCAUUCAAUACUAUGUGUAAUGAACGUGAUGUAUAUCAAAACAAAACAAAACUUUCAACAACGGAUCUCUUGGCUCUCGCAUCGAUGAAGAACGCAGCGAAAUGCGAUAAGUAAUGUGAAUUGCAGAAUUCAGUGAAUCAUCGAAUCUUUGAACGCACCUUGCGCCUCUUGGUAUUCCGAGAGGCAUGCCUGUUUGAGCGUCAUUUCACCAAUCAAGCCUGGCUUGGUAUUGGGCACCGGGGGCGACCCGGGCCUCAAAGUCGCCGGCUGGUAAGCUCUGAUCUCAGCGUCGUGAUCAAUCAAAUUCGCUUUGCAGAGGAGUGAGCCGUGCCGGUUAAGAAUUAUCUAAAGGUUGACCUCGGAUCGGGUAGGAAUACCCGCUGAACUUAA
This 507-nucleotide ribosomal RNA is filed under the name uncultured fungus. RNAcentral's name for it is "eukaryotic LSU rRNA". The stretch from base 167 to 320 matches the Rfam family "5.8S ribosomal RNA". The record is from RNAcentral. Lineage: Eukaryota; Fungi.